GUAGAUAGAUGCUCGCUGGUUUGAGUACUUAGCUGUUAACUAAGAGUUUAAAGGAUCGAGGCCUUUCUGUCUAG
This 74-nucleotide transfer RNA is filed under the name Gadus morhua (Atlantic cod). RNAcentral describes it as "tRNA-Asn". The record is from RNAcentral. Lineage: Eukaryota; Metazoa; Chordata; Actinopteri; Gadiformes; Gadidae.